RNAcentral lists this ribosomal RNA (337 nucleotides) under uncultured bacterium. RNAcentral's name for it is "bacterial SSU rRNA". It matches the Rfam family "Bacterial small subunit ribosomal RNA", at positions 30 to 366 of the family's 1533-position model. The record is from RNAcentral.
AUUGAACGCUGGCGGCAUGCCUUACACAUGCAAGUCGAACGGCAGCGGACCUUCGGUGCCGGCGAGUGGCGAACGGGUGAGUAAUAUAUCGGAACGUACCUUUCAGUGGGGAGUAACGUAGCGAAAGUUACGCUAAUACCGCAUAUUCUGUGAGCAGGAAAGACAGGGGAGUCACAAGAACCUUGCGCUGAUUGAGCGGCCGAUAUCAGAUUAGCUAGUUGGUGAGGUAAAGGACUCACCAAGGCGACGAUCUGUAGCGGGUCUGAGAGGAUGAUCCGCCACACUGGAACUGAGACACGGUCCAGACUCCUACGGGAGGCAGCAGUGGGGAAGUUUU